RNAcentral lists this transfer RNA (72 nucleotides) under Microcaldota archaeon. RNAcentral describes it as "tRNA-Ala". It matches the Rfam family "tRNA". From Rfam's summary of the family: Transfer RNA (tRNA) molecules are approximately 80 nucleotides in length. Their secondary structure includes four short double-helical elements and three loops (D, anti-codon, and T loops). Further hydrogen bonds mediate the characteristic L-shaped molecular structure. tRNAs have two regions of fundamental functional importance: the anti-codon, which is responsible for specific mRNA codon recognition, and the 3' end, to which the tRNAs corresponding amino acid is attached (by aminoacyl-tRNA synthetases). tRNAs cope with the degeneracy of the genetic code in two manners: having more than one tRNA (with a specific anti-codon) for a particular amino acid; and 'wobble' base-pairing, i.e. permitting non-standard base-pairing at the 3rd anti-codon position. The record is from RNAcentral. Lineage: Archaea; Nanobdellati; Microcaldota. RNAcentral also lists the same sequence under 1 other name.
GGGCUCUUAGCGCAACGGUAGCGCGCCUGCAUGGCAUGCAGGAGGUUGCGGGUUCAAAUCCCGCAGAGUCCA